This is a small nucleolar RNA of Myotis lucifugus (little brown bat), 131 nucleotides long. Its record names the gene SNORA63. It matches the Rfam family "Small nucleolar RNA SNORA63". Rfam says of the family: E3 belongs to the H/ACA class of snoRNAs and is involved in the processing of eukaryotic pre-rRNA and has regions of complementarity to 18S rRNA. NCBI's taxonomy places the organism in Eukaryota, Metazoa, Chordata, Mammalia, Chiroptera, Vespertilionidae. The record is from Ensembl.
AGGUUGGGUUAAUUGUUACAAUAUAGCUGUGAAGUGCUAUAUUGUCCCUCCCCCUGCUGAGAGUAAGUGUUUCCUACAAUCUCUGUCUGACUCAUUUCCGUAGUAAGACAGGGACGCUUGGUCUCAAACAU